Fukomys damarensis (Damara mole-rat) is the source of this 533-nucleotide long non-coding RNA. RefSeq lists it as uncharacterized. The transcript is spliced from 3 exons. NCBI's taxonomy places the organism in Eukaryota, Metazoa, Chordata, Mammalia, Rodentia, Bathyergidae. The record is from RefSeq and is a predicted model, not a curated record.
UUGCGCCUGGUCCCAGUACCGGUUUCUUCCGUCCUAGCGAGACAAGCAGGGCCGACUCCCUGACAGCCCUGCCUGGCGCCAUCACGCCAGGUGCUCGGCAGUGAUUCACUAGAUGCCUUCAGAGCUCCCUGCUCCCGGUUCCUUCUCACGACUGUAUUCACUGAAUGCACAGCCUGGGUCUUUAUCCACCUGGGAGACCUCGGAAACAGGAGCUGGUGAGCUGCAGACCCCACGCCCCGGGACAGCAGGCGAGUAAAGUGUCACUCGCCCACUGGCCAGAACGGAGCACGGCCUUGGAGUCCGGAUUUGGCUGUGGAGUGGGUCUCCUUGACACCCGGCUGUGCUGCACACACAGGCCUCUGGAGGUGGCGGCCGUCUCUGAAGGCGGUGUUGGUGGGAAGCUUUUCUUUUUUUGUUUUUCUGUAUUUUCUAAAGUCUGUAGCAUUUUACUAUGUACAAUUUUAGUGGUCAAAAUAAAUGCAAAACUGUUCAAAACUGGGUCCAAGGGAUGCAUCCUGCCAGUGUCCCCGUGC